This 20-nucleotide microRNA is filed under the name Schistosoma mansoni. Its description in RNAcentral is "sma-miR-8441-3p". The record is from miRBase by way of RNAcentral. Lineage: Eukaryota; Metazoa; Platyhelminthes; Trematoda; Strigeidida; Schistosomatidae.
AAUACUUUUUGUUAUCAUAA